AUGUGACUUAGUUAGGGGGCGAACAUUAACUUGAACCAAAUGUUAAUUUGGUUUUACUAGUGAAUAGGCUUUUUGAAUUGGAUUCUCUGACUUCUCCCAUUAGUUGUCCCUCAAGCAGCCUGUUACAUUU
This is a small nucleolar RNA of Lotus japonicus, 130 nucleotides long. RefSeq annotates it as small nucleolar RNA U19. The record is from RefSeq and is a predicted model, not a curated record. The transcript has a single exon. NCBI's taxonomy places the organism in Eukaryota, Viridiplantae, Streptophyta, Magnoliopsida, Fabales, Fabaceae.